GGACAGGUGGGUGAGUGGUUAAAGCCAACAGACUGUAAAUCUGUCACUCCUUGCGAGUUACGAAGGUUCGAAUCCUUCCCUGUCCACCA
RNAcentral lists this transfer RNA (89 nucleotides) under Acidobacteriota bacterium. RNAcentral's name for it is "tRNA-Tyr". It matches the Rfam family "tRNA". Rfam says of the family: Transfer RNA (tRNA) molecules are approximately 80 nucleotides in length. Their secondary structure includes four short double-helical elements and three loops (D, anti-codon, and T loops). RNAcentral also lists the same sequence under 4 other names. The record is from RNAcentral. Lineage: Bacteria; Pseudomonadati; Acidobacteriota.